UGGGGAAUAUUGCACAAUGGGCGCAAGCCUGAUGCAGCCAUGCCGCGUGUGUGAAGAAGGCCUUCGGGUUGUAAAGCACUUUCAGCGGGGAGGAAGGCGGUGAGGUUAAUAACCUCAUCGAUUGACGUUACCCGCAGAAGAAGCACCGGCUAACUCCGUGCCAGCAGCCGCGGUAAUACGGAGGGUGCAAGCGUUAAUCGGAAUUACUGGGCGUAAAGCGCACGCAGGCGGUCUGUCAAGUCGGAUGUGAAAUCCCCGGGCUCAACCUGGGAAGUGCAUCUGAUACUGGCAAGCUUGAGUCUCGUAGAGGGGGGUAGAAUUCCAGGUGUAGCGGUGAAAUGCGUAGAGAUCUGGAGGAAUACCGGUGGCGAAGGCGGCCCCCUGGACGAAGACUGACGCUAAGGUGCGAAAGCGUGGGGAGCAAACAGG
This 429-nucleotide ribosomal RNA is filed under the name Chloroflexota bacterium. RNAcentral describes it as "Chloroflexi bacterium partial 16S ribosomal RNA". It matches the Rfam family "Bacterial small subunit ribosomal RNA", at positions 355 to 776 of the family's 1533-position model. Lineage: Bacteria; Bacillati; Chloroflexota. The record is from RNAcentral.